AUGGCGCCCGGGCUGGGGCCGUGGCUGCUGGCCUUGUCCUUGGCCGCGGGGCCGGCAGGGGUGUGGGCGCAGCUGAGGCUGGAGGCGGCCGGCGGAGGGCUGCGAGCGCCCGGGGACUCCGUGCUCCUCUCCUGCCGCAGAUCCGGCUUCACCUUCGGGAGUUAUGCCAUUCUGUGGUACCGUCAGGCACCCGGUGGCAGUCUGGAGUGGGUGUCCGUUAUCAGCUAUGAUUCGUCAGUCAUUCGGUUCGGGCAGUCAGUGGAAGGUCGAGCCACAGCCUCCCGGGACAAUUCCCGGUCUGAGGCAUCUCUGUCCCUGCGUGCCCUGCACCCCCGGGACUCUGCCCGCUACUUCUGUGCUGUUCGCACGGAGAGAGGAAAUCCAGCCGAGCUUUAACACAAACCUGCUGGGGCCCGGUCCAGGCUGCACGAGGUCUGGAGCCGGCGAGUGCUGAGGUGGCUCAGGACUGUUCUCAGGAAGAGAGUGGCCAUCACUGCGCACCGCGGGGUGGUCCUGGCCUUUCUGCAAGAGCUCCUUUCCUGGCACCGCCAAUUUCCAUCUCCUGAGUCCCAA
Molecule: non-coding RNA, 573 nt
Organism: Gymnogyps californianus (California condor)
Lineage: Eukaryota; Metazoa; Chordata; Aves; Accipitriformes; Cathartidae
Source: the annotation of a RefSeq genome assembly